Molecule: ribosomal RNA, 431 nt
Filed under: uncultured bacterium
Lineage: Bacteria
Description: partial 16S ribosomal RNA
Rfam family: Bacterial small subunit ribosomal RNA
Source: RNAcentral
AACGAACGCUGGCGGCAGGCUUAACACAUGCAAGUCGAACGCCCCGCAAGGGGAGUGGCAGACGGGUGAGUAACGCGUGGGAACAUACCCUUUUCUACGGAAUAGCUCUGGGAAACUGGAAUUAAUACCGUAUACGCCCUACGGGGGAAAGAUUUAUCGGGGAAGGAUUGGCCCGCGUUGGAUUAGCUAGUUGGUGGGGUAAAGGCCUACCAAGGCGACGAUCCAUAGCUGGUCUGAGAGGAUGAUCAGCCACAUUGGGACUGAGACACGGCCCAAACUCCUACGGGAGGCAGCAGUGGGGAAUAUUGGACAAUGGGCGCAAGCCUGAUCCAGCCAUGCCGCGUGAGUGAUGAAGGCCUUAGGGUUGUAAAGCUCUUUCACCGAUGAAGAUAGUGACGGUAGUCGGAGAAGAAGCCCCGGCUAACUUCGUG